This is a long non-coding RNA of Lathyrus oleraceus (garden pea), 524 nucleotides long. RefSeq lists it as uncharacterized. The record is from RefSeq and is a predicted model, not a curated record. The transcript has 2 exons. NCBI's taxonomy places the organism in Eukaryota, Viridiplantae, Streptophyta, Magnoliopsida, Fabales, Fabaceae.
GGGCGUAGUGUGCAGUAGGGGCGCAUGUGGCAAAGGUUUUGGGUUGAGAAUUAUAAGCCCAAGUAGCUAUGGCGGCUCUUCAAAGUUGGCAUUUGAUAAAGCAAGUCCAGAGGCCUUCUUCUUCUUCUUUAGGGUGGAUUAUGUGACUUGAUGUGAAACCUUGUGCAUGAGACGUGGACGAUAUUAUCAAGGUUUGGAUAUGGCAUGAUCAAGGCUUGGCAAGAUAUCAUGGACAUGAAGAGAUUUUUGAAUGGGAUGAAAGACUUGAUGGCAUAAAUGGAGAAUCCAAGGGGGUGAAGACCAAAGUAGGCAAUGGGAUGGUCUAUUUGACUUUGGUCAAGUGUUUGAUCAAAAAGUCAACAGUUGACCAAAAGUCAACCUAGGUCAAAAUUCGGGUUUUCUUUAGGGAUGCUUUGUAAAUAUGGAGUUUGUAAUGUAUUUUUAUUGCUUUGAUCAUGAAAUAACAUUGUAUGGUCGUAACUUAUUUUCAAAGCAAUACAAAUGUUUUCCCUCCAUUUUGUGAA